GAUGAACGCUAGCGGGAGGCUUAACACAUGCAAGUCGAGGGGCAGCAUAGGGUAGCAAUACUCUGAUGGCGACCGGCAAACGGGUGAGUAACGCGUAUGCAACCUACCCUGUACAGGGGGAUAACCCGGAGAAAUUCGGACUAAUAUCCCGUAAUAAUAUCCGGAGGCAUCUUUGGAUAUUUAAAGUUCCGACGGUACGGGAUGGGCAUGCGUAACAUUAACUGGUUGGUAAGGUAACGGCUUACCAAGGCUAUGAUGUUUAGGGGUCCUGAGAGGGUGGUCCCCCACACUGGUACUGAGACACGGACCAGACUCCUACGGGAGGCAGCAGUGAGGAAUAUUGGUCAAUGGGGCCAAGCCUGAACCAGCCAUCCCGCGUGCAGGAAGACGGCCCUAUGGGUUGUAACUGCUUUUCCAGGGAGAGAAACUUACGCACGUGUUGCGUGACUGACGGUACCUGGGAAUAGCAUCGGCUAACUCCGUG
RNAcentral lists this ribosomal RNA (484 nucleotides) under uncultured bacterium. RNAcentral's name for it is "bacterial SSU rRNA". It matches the Rfam family "Bacterial small subunit ribosomal RNA", at positions 28 to 507 of the family's 1533-position model. The record is from RNAcentral.